CAGCCGCCGCGGUAAAACGGAGGGUGCAAGCGUUAUCCGGAUUUAUUGGGUUUAAAGGGUCCGUAGGCGGACUUAUAAGUCAGUGGUGAAAGCCUGUCGCUUAACGAUAGAACUGCCAUUGAUACUGUAAGUCUUGAGUAUAUUUGAGGUAGCUGGAAUAAGUAGUGUAGCGGUGAAAUGCAUAGAUAUUACUUAGAACACCAAUUGCGAAGGCAGGUUACCAAGAUAUAACUGACGCUGAGGGACGAAAGCGUGGGUAGCGAACAGGAUUAGAUACCCCUGUAGUCCCUGUCUCUUAUAC
RNAcentral lists this ribosomal RNA (301 nucleotides) under uncultured bacterium. Its description in RNAcentral is "partial 16S ribosomal RNA". It matches the Rfam family "Bacterial small subunit ribosomal RNA", at positions 509 to 807 of the family's 1533-position model. The record is from RNAcentral.